RNAcentral lists this ribosomal RNA (244 nucleotides) under uncultured bacterium. RNAcentral's name for it is "partial small subunit ribosomal RNA". It matches the Rfam family "Bacterial small subunit ribosomal RNA", at positions 26 to 285 of the family's 1533-position model. The record is from RNAcentral.
AGAAUCAAUGCUGGCGGCGUGCCUAACACAUGCAAGUCGAACGAGAAAGUGGAGCAAUCCACGAGUAAAGUGGCGCACGGGUGAGUAACACGUGACUAACCUACCCUUGAGUGGGGAAUAACUGAGGGAAACCUUAGCUAAUACCGCAUAACACCUACGGGUCAAAGGAGCAAUUCGCUUAAGGAGGGGUCGCGGCAGAUUAGUUAGUUGGCGGGGUAAUGGCCCACCAAGACGGUGAUCUGUA